RNAcentral lists this long non-coding RNA (355 nucleotides) under Brassica rapa (field mustard). RNAcentral describes it as "long non-coding RNA (BRAP_LNC004421)". The record is from RNAcentral. Lineage: Eukaryota; Viridiplantae; Streptophyta; Magnoliopsida; Brassicales; Brassicaceae.
GAGUUUACGUACAUUGGAAUUAUAAAAUGUCAACUUAUGUAGAUUCUAUGCAUUGUGCUCUUAUCAUAAUCUGAAUUUCCUUACUUGCGUAUUCUUCCAAAUUUGCCUUUAAACAUAUAUUUUUGUGUUCAUGUUAGGAGGUCUAGGAAGCAAUGAUGAUUAUGGCUUCGUCUUAUCUCUGAUAAUACCUACGACAGUUAUUCUGCCUUUUUUUACAUGUCCUCCGUAAAUACACCUUCGAUCUCUGACCUCUGUUUCUUGGAAAAUACCAAAAUUGCGCAUACAAAAACCCAUGUCGAAACUAUUUUCUUCCUUCUCUUAUUUACUCUGUUUCGUUCUCUCCACUGCUCUGACC